UACGUAGGGUGCGAGCGUUAAUCGGAAUUACUGGGCGUAAAGGGUGCGCAGGCGGAUAUGUAAGUUAGAUGUGAAAUCCCCCGGGCUUAACCUGGGAAUGGCAUUUAAGACUGCAUGUCUAGAGUUUGUCAGAGGGGGGGUAGAAUUCCAAGUGUAGCAGUGAAAUGCGUAGAGAUUUGGAGGAAUACCGGUGGCGAAGGCGACCCCCUGGGAUAAAACUGACGCUCAGGCACGAAAGCGUGGGUAGCAAACAGG
RNAcentral lists this ribosomal RNA (255 nucleotides) under uncultured bacterium. RNAcentral describes it as "partial 16S ribosomal RNA". It matches the Rfam family "Bacterial small subunit ribosomal RNA", at positions 524 to 776 of the family's 1533-position model. The record is from RNAcentral.